This is a long non-coding RNA of Vespa crabro (European hornet), 3114 nucleotides long. RefSeq lists it as uncharacterized. The transcript has 3 exons. Lineage: Eukaryota; Metazoa; Arthropoda; Insecta; Hymenoptera; Vespidae. The record is from RefSeq and is a predicted model, not a curated record.
AUCAUGCUAAUGUAAAAAAGAGAGAAAAAGUUUCAGAAACUUAAUGAACUGGCAGUAUAAUUCAUAAAUAUUCGGGAAUUCAUAAAUAUAUCGUUUUGAAGGAGAUAGCCCAAGGUAUAUUUCAGUACGAGGGAGAAAUUCAAGUUGAAGUGCAUUGAUUUAAAUCAUAUUGAAUCAUAUUUUAUGGUGAAUAUAUGUAGAUAUAUCGAAAUAAAUAUACAAAAUCCUAUUUCUUUCAAAGUUAUAUAUAUUUUCAAUAUUUCUAUCUGAUAAAUUAUCUUCGAUUCGUACAUUGUAUUAAUCAACGCAUUAUUUUCUGAUUUAUAUCUGGUUACGUUAAGAAAGAUUCUUUUUGAACAUCAUUAUAUUCGAAUACCUUUGAGAGAGAAGCAAAUCACGAAAGUUUGAUCCAUUUCGCUACUAUAACUACAACAACGUCCACGGAGAAUGUAUCGGUUACAAGCUGGAGAAGUUGCUUGUUGGAACUAUUUGAGAUCGUAAAUACCAGAGUCUAUAUGGUACGUAUACAUAUAUACAAUAUGUAUACGUAUAUAUACCUAUAUACAUACGUAUGGAACAAUUAUCUAUGUAAAACGAACGACGACAAUAGCCAACGUGGAUAUAUGGUGAAUGUACGAUUGCUCGAGGAAGGUACGCAACGUCCAAGCCUAUGAUGGUCAUUGUUAGGCUGUCCACGUUCUACCUGCCUUAUACGUUGGCAAGUAGAGGCAGACGCCACUCUGUAUCACUGCGGAUCCACGCAAAUGUAGCCACGGCAAGAAUUAUGCGCGUAAUCAGUGCCUCUUACCCAUAAUCUAUGACGCCGUUAUUAUUUAUUCGGUUAAUCAUUAUACUCAUGUGAAUUACUCGGAACCGGAGAAUAUUGCACGUUGGAUUUGGAUUACACGAGGGAAGUAUGUGCGGUGAAAUUUGUUAGAACGUACAUACGUAAGUAGGGAAUUAUAGAGAUGGACAAAGUAAUUGUUAAUUAAAUCUAAUAAGAGAAAUGAUCAAAAUAAUUAGAUGAAAUUUCUUCAUUUCGAUAGAUCGAACAACAUUCAAAGUAUGAAAAUCGAAGAAAGUACCACUUAAAUUUUUAUUGAUUUCUUUACAGAUUCGAUGGGACUUUCGAAUUUAUUUGGACAAGAUAUAUAUAUCACCUAAACAUGAAUAGAAUCUACUAAAAAUUUCAUUUAUCGAGCAAAAUUUUACUUAUUAAUUUUUUUACGUGUUACGUUAACGCGUCUCCCAUUUUCGUCGCAAACCUUCGAACAAUGUCUUCUCGUAUCAUUUAUCAAGAUUUGUAAAAUUAAAAAAGUGAAAAAAAAUAUUUAAAGUUAUCGAAGUCGAUGAACUGAUUGACUGAAUUUCUAUAAAGUACAGUCCUUUACAAAAAAUGUAUAGCCUUCGUCGUUCCAAUUCAAUAGAAAAGAAAGAAAGAACUAAAUUUUGAUGAUCAUCAGCUGACAAGUAGAGUCUCUCGAUACGGACAAUCUUUGUGACGAAAGAAUACGUACUCUAAAAAUGCACCCUCUGAAAACAAGUUGGUCGUUAUACAUAUCUCGGAGGCUUGUUGCCUUAAGGGUGAAAUAUCUAGUGUGUUGUCGAAGGCGAAUAUUGAAAAACGGUGUGAGUGUUGUUCGCCAUGUGGGUGACAGAAAGAGAGAGAAAGAGAGAGAGAAAAAGAGAGAGAGGGAAGGAGGGAGAAAAAAAAAGAGAGAGAGAGGAGGGAGGGAGGGAGAAAAAGAGAGAGAUAGAGCGAGAGAAAGCGAGAGGAAGAGAGAGAGAGAGAGAGAGAGAGAGAAGAUAGAGAGAGGGUAGAGAAGCUCGAACCCGUUGUGUAAUAGGUACAUGUAUUCGUACGUAUCAGGGUAAAUGGAGCGUGCUAGGUAACGGUGCGUCUCUCAGCUCGCCCCAGCAACCCCUGCUUCUCCGUCCUUCUACUCUUCCUCAGCCACCUUCUUCUCUCACCCCAUCUCCACUCAUCCCAUUUGAUAAACCACGGCGAUGACGUUUAGGUUUUGAUCUCUACGACAAUUUCACGGAGAUCAAUCGUCAAAUAGAAUAGGGAGAAUAGGGAGUUCCUUUGUUUUGAGAGAAAAAGAAAAAGGGGAAAUUGGUAAAGGAAAUUGUCCUCUCGUCGAAAUCUUGAAUUUUAUUGCUAUUCUAUCUUGACAUCUUGACACAAGGAAUUUGUUUACCAGAAGAGGGGUAGCAAUGGAGGAUAACAUGGUGGAAAUUCAAUUAUCAAGACGCAUCCACUAUUGUCAGGAAAUUGCGUUUCAGACUUGAAAAGAAGAAGCAAGGAUAUGAUUGAAAAUGAUGAAGCGAAGUUUGUUCUCGUGUAAUCGUGGCUUUUUAAACUUCUCUCUUCGUUUGAAAUUUAAUACAAGGCGAGCUGUUUUACGUCUCUACGGUAAAAGGUGACUGUCGGGUAAUGGAGCGUCCUUUAAAGGAUGCGCGCGAGCUUCCAUUUACGUUAAAAGUACUUCAACUUGACGCGUAACGAAAUUCGAUUUUCCGAUAAUUUGUCGCGAAAUGUCGUAAAUAUUCGCGAAUCGAAUUUCAACUGAGAUAUAGUGCAUAUUCGUGUCUAUUAAUAAUGCAAAAAAAAAAGACGAAAAAUUUCCUCUGUCGAUCUUUUGUUCGAGCUGUGAUAAUUUAAAUUAAAUAUAGUAUAUUAUAAAAAUCGUUAUCCAAAAUAUAUGUGUUCUAAUUUUUUCAAUACUUAAAGAAUCUAAUGCAUGCAUUAAUUUAAAUGCAUAACUAAUUGAAAUACCAACAAAAUAUAUCGAGCUGGUAUAAUUAAUUUUUUAUAUGAUUAAGUUUCAUGCUUGAGGAGAAACAAUAUAAGACGUUGACAAUGUUUGCGAGUAUUAGGUAUUAGUAAAAAAUAAAAAUAUUGUUAAGUCUUUUAUCGUAGGUAACAUUUUUUAUAUUAAAAUUUUUAGAUUUAAACUGAAUGUACAAUUGUAUUAUCUAUAUCAUAAAAAGCAUAAAAUAUUUCCUAUCGAUAAAUGGCAUUUAUAAUUAACAUUAUCAACUUACGACUAUAAUAGUAUGGAUUAAUGCAUUCAUAUAUUAUUCAAGCAUAUAUAGAUAACAAAAAUUGUG